This 650-nucleotide ribosomal RNA is filed under the name Salmonella enterica subsp. enterica serovar Worthington. RNAcentral's name for it is "partial 23S ribosomal RNA". It matches the Rfam family "Bacterial large subunit ribosomal RNA", at positions 2174 to 2823 of the family's 2925-position model. Lineage: Bacteria; Pseudomonadati; Pseudomonadota; Gammaproteobacteria; Enterobacterales; Enterobacteriaceae. The record is from RNAcentral.
GUCUGCGUGGAGCCAACCUUGAAAUACCACCCUUUAAUGUUUGAUGUUCUAACGUGGACCCGUAAUCCGGGUUGCGGACAGUGUCUGGUGGGUAGUUUGACUGGGGCGGUCUCCUCCUAAAGAGUAACGGAGGAGCACGAAGGUUGGCUAAUCCUGGUCGGACAUCAGGAGGUUAGUGCAAUGGCAUAAGCCAGCUUGACUGCGAGCGUGACGGCGCGAGCAGGUGCGAAAGCAGGUCAUAGUGAUCCGGUGGUUCUGAAUGGAAGGGCCAUCGCUCAACGGAUAAAAGGUACUCCGGGGAUAACAGGCUGAUACCGCCCAAGAGUUCAUAUCGACGGCGGUGUUUGGCACCUCGAUGUCGGCUCAUCACAUCCUGGGGCUGAAGUAGGUCCCAAGGGUAUGGCUGUUCGCCAUUUAAAGUGGUACGCGAGCUGGGUUUAGAACGUCGUGAGACAGUUCGGUCCCUAUCUGCCGUGGGCGCUGGAGAACUGAGGGGGGCUGCUCCUAGUACGAGAGGACCGGAGUGGACGCAUCACUGGUGUUCGGGUUGUCAUGCCAAUGGCACUGCCCGGUAGCUAAAUGCGGAAGAGAUAAGUGCUGAAAGCAUCUAAGCACGAAACUUGCCCCGAGAUGAGUUCUCCCUGAGACUU